UCCGGCGAUCGCCCUCUGCUGACAUCUCUUCCCCCGACCCUUUCCUCUCUCUGUUCCUCGCAAACAACUCGACGCCGACGGGGCUUGCAAUCGUCUUCACCGCCUGAGGAGGAGGUCGCCGGAACCUUGCUAGAGGUCGAACAAGGAGGCGGAUCCUCCUGAUCUCAUGUUCUCAGGUCUUCCCCGAGCCUUUCCUUCCCCGAUCCUUCUGGGUUUUGCCGAUCCUUUCUUCCCCGAUUCGAUCGCUGGCUUGAAGAUGACCUAGGGUUUCGAAGGUCACGGAUUUGGAGAGGUUGGAAUCAGGGAGGUGUUGUUGGAUUAGGGGAAGGAAUCGGAUCAGACUCGUGCUAGGUUUUCCCUUGAUCGGAUCAGUGGACCUCCACCUCCUUGCUGUUGAUUGAGGUCUCGAAUUGAAGUGAGGGGAGGUGAGGUUCCAUUCUUGCUGUGGAAUUGUGUUUGGUUCCGGCAGUAACAAUCACCUCAAUCCAGCAUCAACAGUAGGUUCGAUCUGCUCUGUUCUAUUUGUGAACUUUCUGAUUUCGGCAGUAAACCAUCCAGCAACAACAACAACUGGAUUUGAGGACUCUGAUUCGAGACGGGCGUCUCGACUUCGGAUUAGGACUGGAUUGUACCUUCUCUUU
Long non-coding RNA from Zingiber officinale, 641 nucleotides. RefSeq lists it as uncharacterized. The transcript has 4 exons. The record is from RefSeq and is a predicted model, not a curated record. Lineage: Eukaryota; Viridiplantae; Streptophyta; Magnoliopsida; Zingiberales; Zingiberaceae.